UGCUGUGAUAAAAUNGCCUAACAAAAGACA
Molecule: non-coding RNA, 30 nt
Filed under: Mus musculus (house mouse)
Lineage: Eukaryota; Metazoa; Chordata; Mammalia; Rodentia; Muridae
Source: RNAcentral